GCACUGCUGAAGAGUCUCAUAAUAGAACGAAACGGCUGUCCAGUUC
Schistosoma mattheei is the source of this 46-nucleotide non-coding RNA. NCBI's taxonomy places the organism in Eukaryota, Metazoa, Platyhelminthes, Trematoda, Strigeidida, Schistosomatidae. The record is from Rfam.